CUGGCCCCUCUACCCGCUCGCCUCUCUAUGGUUCCCCCAUCUCCCCAGGCCCAGCCGUCCGCCUUGUUAAAACUUCUCCUUCUCUAAGCUCCUCAGCAUUGGAGCCAGCGGGUCCUAGGCGGGUUGGGUCGGCUAUCCGGGCUGCCUCUCUGGUCCAGCCGAGAGGAAACGGCGGCCAGUGUGAGUGCUUUUAGGAAAGGCCCGGGCCGUGACUGGGGAGAGUCCCUGGGAAAAAGGAGCGCGUUUCGGGCCCUUUGCGAAAACGCUCCGGCUGGAAACACAAGGCUCCGAGAGGAAGGAGCCGCUCUCCGCUCUGACCCACCCCACCCCCUUCACGCUGGGAACCAACGGGGAGAUCGGGACGUGCCCACCUCAUCACACAGACGAAAACCUCAGGCGCCAGAAUGGGGAGGAACUCGCUCAGAACCAGCCAGGAGCCAGCUGGGGCUCCCGACUCUCGGUUCUGGGAACCUCCGUGUUUUUCUGUUUGAAGAUAGGCGGGGUAGGUAGCGACAAGAAGGGUCCUGAGAGAGGCGUGGAGGACCCCCACAAUCCGGUUCCAAGCCGGAGUCCAGUCUUACCUCUCAGGAUUCCCCCUUUCGUGUAGCAAAGCGGAUGUGAUUCUUUCCCUUAAAAGUCGUUAAACGUAGCUGUUCAGGUGGGUUUACCACGAAGCUAACAAAGCUUAAGCUUCCGAGGCUCCUCGCGGGCACGACCACUUCUCUACCUAGUGGGUGUCAACAAUUCAAAGAAUAUUUAAGAUUAGUCACUGCUCAAAAAAGUUUGCCAUGCCUUGUAAACUUAAAUUCAUACCUGAAAGAAACGUGAUUUUGAUUUUCCCAAACUUGACCGUGCUAAAUCUGCAACUGUCCUGAAUCUGAAAUAAAACUUGCUUAAACUGUAAAUUGUUGUGGUAUGAAAUACAGAUCGAAGGAUGCAGGGAGGAAAGUGUUACAGAGCUGUGUAAGGCUGUAAAUUAAUAAAAAUGUUUUGUAUGCUUUAUAAUUGGAGGUUGCAUAUGGUAAUUAUCAUCUUGUAAAUGUCAUUAGGUGGGAUUUAUUUUCUCAUGCUAAAUGUUCGCUUGCGUAUCUUAUUUUGUAUUUUUAGCUUACUACUCUUGUUCUUAAUUGGAUAAGCUUUGCUUUCUGCAAAAUCUGGACCUACCUCCCCUCACAGUCAGUGAGCGCUCAAUAUAUAUUAGCUAUUAUUGUUAAUGUUAUUGUUACUUUGCAGAUCGAACAGGAAGGUUUGAGGAGGAUCUCUGAGGAUUACUAUUGGCGUAGGACUUCAGACGGCCAUUGUUACCAGCUACUUAUUCAUCUCUGUAUUCAUUUCACAUUCAAUACACUUAUGUGUUGAUUCACUAAUUCAAUUCGUGUGUACUGAAUAUCUGAAUACUCCCAGACACUAGUAUGGACGCCAGAGAUAUGGGAGGUGAAGAUGUGAACAUGGUGUCUACCUUCAGGGAACUUACAGUAUCAUGAGAAUUGUCAUGGAAUUGAUUUGAGGUUUUCAAAAUUCAGAUUACAAAAACAGUCUACAGGCUCCCACACCAACAUUUUAUUUUGAAAAAUUUCAAAUAUAUAGAAAAGUUGAAAGAAUUGCAUAGUGAACAUCCAUAUACUUAUCGUACCAGGUUUAUAGUUUUUAAAUAGCAUCUACAGUUUGAUCCUGAAAGGUCAUCAUGUUCAGCCAAUUAUUAUUAUUAUUUUGAGAUGGAGUCUUGCUCUGUCACCCAGGCUGGAGUGCAGUGGUGUGAUCUCGGCUCGCUGCAACCUCCGCCUCCUGGGUUCAAGCGAUUCUCCUGCCUCAGCCUCCUGAGUAGCUGAGAUUACAGGCACCCACCACCAUGCCUGGCUAAUUUUUGUAUUUUUAAUAGAGACGGGGUUUCACCAUACUGGUCAGGCUGGUCUCAAACUCCUGACCUCAGGUGAUCCUCCUGCCUUGGCCUCCCAAAGUGCUGGGAUCACAGGUGUGAGCCACUGUGCCCCGCCUCUUUGUAGUUUGUUUGAGACGGAGUCUCACUCUGUCGCCCAGGCUGGAGUGCAGUGGCCCAAUUUUGGCUCACUGCAACCUCUACCUCCUGGGUUCAAGCAAUUCUCCUGUCUCAGCCUCCCGAGUAGCUGGGAUUACAGGCGUGUGCCACCACGUAGGCCUGACUAAUUUAUUUAUUUGUUUGUUUACUUAGUUAGAGACAGGGUUUCACCAUGUUGGCCACGCUGGUCUGGAACUCCUGACCUCAGGUGAUCCACCCGCUUUGGCCUCUCAAAGUGCUGGGAUUAUAGGCGUGAGCCACCACGCCCGGCCUAUUUAGUUAGUUUUGAGACAGGGUCUGGCUGCUCUGUUGCCCAAGCUGGAUUGCAGUGGCACAGUCAUGGCUCACUGCAGCCUCAACCUCCUGGGCUCAGGUAAUCCUCCCACCUCAACCUGCUAAGUAGCUGCGACGACAGGCAUGCACCACUACGCCGGGCUUUUUUUGCUUUUGUUUUUUGGUUUUGUUUGUUUUGUUUUUGGUAGAGAUGGCUGUGGUGAUGUGUUGCCCAGGCUGGUCUGGAACUCCUGGGUUCAAGGGAUCCUCCUGCCUUUGCCUCCUAAAGUGCUAGAAUUAGAGGCAUGAGCCACUGAACCCCACCCAACUCACCCAUUUAAAGUGUAUAAUUCAAUAGUCAGUAUAUUCAUAGUUGUGUGCAAAUAUCACGAUGUCAACGUUAGAACACUUUCAUCACCUCAAAGAGAGAUCCCAUGCCCUUUAGGUAUCACUCCUCUAUUCUUCCUUCCCUCUAACUCUCUAUCCCUACCCACCCUAAGGAACCACAAAGCUACACUCUGCCGCUACAGAUUACCCUAUUCUGGUAUUAAUAGUCUUCUAAUAUGUGGUCCUUUGUGCCUGGCUUCUUUCACUUAAUCUAUUUUUAAAUUUUAUUUUAUUGACACAUAAUAUUUUACAUAGUUUGGGGUACAUGUGAGUAUUUGUGACACGCAUAGAAUGUGUAAUGAUCAAUCAAAUCGGGCAUUUGGGGUAACCACCAUUCUUGAGUGUUCAUCAUUUCUAUGUGUUGGGAACAUUUCAAGUGCUCUCUUCUAGCUACUUUGCAAUAUACAGACUGGGCACAGUGGCUCACACCUGUAAUCCCAGGACUUUGGGAGGCCAAGGCGGGUGGAUCACGAGGUCAGGAGUUCUAGACCAGCCUGGCCAAGGUGGUGAAACCCUGUCUCUACUAAAAACACAAAAAUUCGCCGGGCAUGCUGGUGGGCACCUGUGAUCCCACCUACUCAGGAGACUGAGGCAGGAGAAUUGCUUGAACCCGGGAGGCGGAGGUUGCCGUGAACCGAGAUCGCACCACUGCACUCCAGCCUGGGCAACAAGAGCAGAACUCCAUCGCAAAAAAAAAAGUAUGUCUUCUAUGUAGCUGUAUGUUGGUACCCAUUAACCAACCUUCAUUCGUCCCCGCUUCCACCACACACCCUUCCCAGCCUCUAAGUUAGCAUAAUGUUUUAAAGGUUCAUCCAUGUUGUCACACAGAUCAGUAUUUUACUCAUUUAUGGCCAAAUAGUAUUCCACUCUAUGGAUAUACCACAUGUUGUUUCUGGACAUUUGGGUCGUUUCUGCUUUUUGGCUGUUAUGAAUAAUACUGCUACAAGCAUUUGUUUACAAGUUUUUGUGUGAACAUACAUUUCAGGCUUCUUGGGUACAUAGAAAAAUGAAAGGGAGAGGAAUUGCAGAGCCAUCUAGCUAACUCUAUCAGCCAAUUUCUUUUAAAAGGCAGGAAAUCUAGGCUCCGUGAGGAGAAGUGAAGUGCUCAGGUUUUACAGGAAGGUAGAGAUGGAAAGAAGCGAGGCAAAUCUUCUGAUUCCAAGUCCAAGACUCUUCCUGCCAUUUUCUUUUUCUUUUUCGUUUUCUUUUCUUUUCUUUCUUUAAAUGGAGUCUUGCUCUGUCUCCCAGGCUGGAGUGCAAUGGUGCUAUCUGGGCUCACUGCAACCUCCGCCUCCCCGGUUCAAGCGAUUCUCCUGCCUCAACCUCCCGAGUAGCUGGGAUUGCAGGCGCCCUCCACCACGCCCCACUAAAAUCUUCCUGCAAUUUUCUAAUGGCUCCGUGUAGCAAGUCUUCUGGCCUCAAGUCAUGCAAUAGUCUGUUAGUGUUCUGCUAGGCACUGAGGGACUCAGAAACCAGACAACAGACGAAAAGGCAAGGAACCCAGAUUUGUUUUUAAAUUUUAAAAUUUUAUAUUUAUUUUAUGUUUAGUUUUUGAGACAGGAUCUUACUUUGUCACCCAGGCCAGAGUGCAGUGGCGUGAUCUUGGCUCACUGCAGCCUCAACUUCCCAAGUUCAAGCAAUCCUCCUGCCUCAGCUCCCCAAGUUGCUGGGACUACAGGCACGCUCCACUGUGCACGUUAAUUUUUGUAUUUUUAGUAGAGACGGGGCCACUAUGCUCAGCCAGAACCCACAUUUAUUGAGCACCAGUUGGUUCCAGGCAUCACAUAGACCUUCAGCAUUCUCAAUUGGUGGCAUUCUAACUACAACCCUGCCAAACGGCAUUAUGGUGCCCACUUUGUAGAUGUCAGCUAGACACUUAGAGGGGACGUUGCUUGCCCAGAGUUGCACAGCAAGUGGACAAAUGGAUCUGGACCCAGGUUUGCCUGAUUUGAAAGCUUAUGGUAAUUCCACUAAACAGUGCUCUCCUCUGUGAAUAUUUAAUAGCUUUAGCGGGGUUAGGGAGAAAAAAAGGGAAAAAAAAUACUCAAUAGCCUUAAGCUCUGGUACAAAAUUCUUCCACCUGCAUGAAUUCAAUUUCUCACUCGUUCAUUCACCAAACACUCACUGAGGCAUAUACGUGCCUUCUCUAUAGGGAUGCAGAGAUGACAUACUUCCAGCUCCCAAAAAAGGGAAACUGGGGGAUGAGUUCUGUGUGCUAUAAAUGAUCUCUUUUAAUAACGAGCUUCUCAGUAAGAAAUAGACCAGGCGCAGUGGCUCACGCCUGUAAUCCCAGCACUUCGGGAGGUUGAGGUGAGGCAGGCGGAUCACAAGGUCAGGAGAUCGAGACCAUCCUGGCUAACACGAUGAACCCCCGUCUCUACCAAAAAUACAGAAAAGCCAGGCGUGGUGGUGGGCGCCUGUAGUCCCAGCUACUCGGGAAGCUGAAGCAGGAGAUUUGCUUGAAUCAGGGAGGCGGAGGUUGCAGUGAGCUGGGAUCACGCCACUGCACUCCAGCCUGGGCUGUUUCUCAAAAAAAAAGAAAAGAAAUGAAAUGAAAUGAUUUCACACCAAGAGAUUACUGAAC
Cercocebus atys (sooty mangabey) is the source of this 5279-nucleotide long non-coding RNA. The record is from Ensembl. NCBI's taxonomy places the organism in Eukaryota, Metazoa, Chordata, Mammalia, Primates, Cercopithecidae.